CCCUCCAAGGAGCGUUGCGACGGGGGCCGAUCGGCCGCUGCCAGGCUUGGACGCUUGCAACCACGCUCACCCCCG
This 75-nucleotide non-coding RNA is filed under the name Rhizobacter sp. Root29. Its description in RNAcentral is "SAH (S-adenosyl-L-homocysteine) riboswitch aptamer". It matches the Rfam family "SAH (S-adenosyl-L-homocysteine) riboswitch aptamer". Lineage: Bacteria; Pseudomonadati; Pseudomonadota; Betaproteobacteria; Burkholderiales; Sphaerotilaceae. RNAcentral also lists the same sequence under 1 other name. The record is from Rfam by way of RNAcentral.